RNAcentral lists this small nuclear RNA (79 nucleotides) under Homo sapiens (human). RNAcentral's name for it is "partial ncRNA". Lineage: Eukaryota; Metazoa; Chordata; Mammalia; Primates; Hominidae. The record is from RNAcentral.
AGAGAAUCACUUGAACCUGGGAGGCGGAGGUUGCAGUGAGCUAAGAUUGCGCCACUGCACGCCAGCCUGGGUGACAAGA